UACGUAGGGUGCAAGCGUUGUUCGGAAUCAUUGGGCGUAAAGCGCGUGUAGGCGGCUAUUUAAGUCAAGUGUGAAAUCCCUGGGCUCAACCGAGGAAGUGCAUUUGAAACUAAAUGGCUAGAGGAUGGCAGAGGAAGGUGGAAUUCCCAGUGUAGAGGUGAAAUUCGUAGAUAUUGGGAGGAAUACCGGCGGCGAAGGCGGCCUUCUGGACCAUUCCUGACGCUAAGACGCGAAAGCGUGGGGAGCAAACAGG
Molecule: ribosomal RNA, 253 nt
Filed under: uncultured bacterium
Lineage: Bacteria
Description: partial 16S ribosomal RNA
Rfam family: Bacterial small subunit ribosomal RNA
Source: RNAcentral